Molecule: ribosomal RNA, 254 nt
Filed under: uncultured bacterium
Lineage: Bacteria
Description: partial 16S ribosomal RNA
Rfam family: Bacterial small subunit ribosomal RNA
Source: RNAcentral
CUUUCUUUGCUGGCGACCGGCGCACGGGCGAGUAACACGUAUCCAACCUGCCCUUUACUCGGGGAUAGCCUUUCGAAAGAAAGAUUAAUACCCGAUAGUAUAAUGAUUCCGCAUGGUUUCAUUAUUAAAGGAUUCCGGUAAAGGAUGGGGAUGCGUUCCAUUAGGUUGUUGGUGAGGUAACGGCUCACCAAGCCUUCGAUGGAUAGGGGUUCUGAGAGGAAGGUCCCCCACAUUGGAACUGAGACACGGUCCAA